Molecule: ribosomal RNA, 407 nt
Filed under: uncultured cyanobacterium
Lineage: Bacteria; Bacillati; Cyanobacteriota
Description: bacterial SSU rRNA
Rfam family: Bacterial small subunit ribosomal RNA
Source: RNAcentral
UGGGGAAUUUUCCGCAAUGGGCGAAAGCCUGACGGAGCAAUACCGCGUGAGGGAGGAAGGCUCUUGGGUUGUAAACCUCUUUUCUCAGGGAAUAACAAAAUGAAGGUACCUGAGGAAUAAGCAUCGGCUAACUCCGUGCCAGCAGCCGCGGUAAUACGGAGGAUGCAAGCGUUAUCCGGAAUGAUUGGGCGUAAAGCGUCCGCAGGUGGUGUUGUAAGUCUGUUGUUAAAGCGUGCGGCUUAACCGCAUACAGGCGAUGGAAACUACAAGACUAGAGUGCGUUAGGGGUAGAGGGAAUUCCUGGUGUAGCGGUGAAAUGCGUAGAGAUCAGGAAGAACACCAGUGGCGAAGGCGCUCUACUAUGCCGCAACUGACACUGAGGGACGAAAGCUAGGGGAGCGAAUGGG